CCUACAGGUGGCAGCAGUGGGGAAUAUUGCACAAUGGGGGAAACCCUGAUGCAGCGACGCCGCGUGAGCGAUGAAGUAUUUCGGUAUUUAAAGCUCUAUCAGCAGGGGAGAAAAUGACGGUACCUGACUAAGAAGCCCCGGCUAACUACGUGCCAGCAGCCGCGGUAAUACGUAGGGGGCAAGCGUUAUCCGGAUUUACUGGGUGUAAAGGGAGCGUGGACGGUACUUCAAGUCUGAUGGUAACGCCCGGGGCUCAACCCCGGGACUGCAUUUGGAACUGUAAGGCUAGAGUGUCGGAGAGGUAGGCGGAAUUCCUGGUGUAGCGGUGAAAUGCGUAGAUAUCAGGAGGAACACCAGUGGCGAAGGCGGCCUGCUGGACGAUGACUGACGUUGAGGCUCGAAAGCGUGGGGAGCAAACAGGAUUAGAUACCCGUGUAGUC
This 440-nucleotide ribosomal RNA is filed under the name uncultured bacterium. Its description in RNAcentral is "partial 16S ribosomal RNA". It matches the Rfam family "Bacterial small subunit ribosomal RNA", at positions 338 to 795 of the family's 1533-position model. The record is from RNAcentral.